RNAcentral lists this unclassified non-coding RNA (2150 nucleotides) under Hevea brasiliensis (rubber tree). The record is from RNAcentral. Lineage: Eukaryota; Viridiplantae; Streptophyta; Magnoliopsida; Malpighiales; Euphorbiaceae.
AUUUAAAUGUCUUUCAUAAUCAAUUAAUAAAUCAUAAUUUACACUUGCUACUUGUCGCUCACACUUAUUGAAGAAAUCUUAUAUUAUAUUAAUAUGAGCAAAGCAAAUGUCGUGAACCCAACGCUUCAAAUUACACAAAUUUCUUGUGGGCUAGCAUUUUGCCUUAUUUUACACACAGCUUCUUCAAGGCUAAGGUUAAAGCAAAUACAGGAAGAAAGUUCCUCAUAGUGAGUUUUUAAUUUUCUGCCAAACUCACUGUGUUAAGAGGACCAAUACCAUCAAAACACUCGAGCUUUAUUUUUUCCACGUAUAAUUUUUUUGACAAGUUCAGAAAGAAGAUGCAUGAUACGGCCCUGCUACCAUCAAUGGAGGACCAUUAUUCCUUUGCCCGCCUCUUCUGCUAUUCCAUGUCAAACUCUCAGGGUAUCAAGGUGAGACUUACCAUGGAGCUCACGAGAAAACAAACUUCUGAAAUACUCUUCAACUCCUAUUCUCUUAAACAAUCCUGGAGUUUGUUUAGUGAUUAAGCUAGGAGCUGGCCCCAUUUCAGCACUGUAUCUUGGAGCAUAAAAUGUUGCAAUCGAGAUUCUUUCCUUUUCCAAGUUCACCGUUGCCCUGUGCUCAAUGCUGCGGUAUAUCCCAUUGCUUAUAAUCUCCAAAAUGUCUCCAAUGUUGAUGACAAAGGCAUUUGGGAGAGGCUCAAUGGAAACCCACUGGCCAUCUUUCUUUAUCUGAAGACCUUCAACUUCAUUGACCUGCAGGAGGAUAGUGAGACCUGAGGCAUCUGAAUGUGAAGUAAGACCAAUGACUUUGUCGGGUUGAGGACAUGGAGGGUAGUAAUUCAUCCUCAUUGACUGAAAUCCAUCUUCAAAAAUCUCUGUCAUUUCCUCUGCCUCUAUUUCUAGUGCUUUAGCCAUCUGUGCUAGGAUAGCCAUGGCUAAAUUUUUCACAUCUGAUGAAUAGGCGUCUAAGGUGUCUCUCAAAGGAAGAGGGAGGUUUGGAAAUAAAUGGGGUUUCCUUGCUUCAACAGGUUGGGUGACCAAGAAGAAGAGGUCACCCCAGUCCAGCUUUUGAUCCUCAGAUACAACAAAGGCUUGCCCAAAACCCUCGACCUCUCCUGGAUAUUGCCAUAACUUUUUCUUCUCUUCCAUUGGGAGGUCGAACAAGUCCUGGACCUCCUUCUUUAUCUUCUCCAAAAGUGAAGACUUCACUCCAUGGUUCACCAGCUGAAAGAAACCCCAGUCUUUGCAGGCAUAAUGAAGCUUCGCCAACUCAGAAUCCAUAGAUUCUUGAGAAAGUAGCCUCUGCAUAUCAAUAACUGGAACCUCAUGUGCUGAAACUCCAUUUUGGAUAAUGGGUUGAUCUCGGUCCUGGCGUAUGUACCUCGGAGGAAUAGUAUCCAUCUGCGAUUUAGCUAAUUCUUGAACACAAGGCACAAGAAGAGAGCCCCCAAGAUUCACCACUUUUGUUGUUUCCAUGGUAUAGGUCAAGAUUUUUUUUGUAGUUUGGUUUCAGAAUCUCUUUGGUUUUAUCUUCAACUUAGGAGGACCAAAUUGCUUAAUUUAUUGCUAGAUUUGGCAAUUGUAGUUGUGGAAUAAUGAGGUGACCACUACCUAUAUAUGCAAUAUGUGUAAUAUUUAUAUAGUGAUUAGCAGCCAACGCAUCGCCAAAAGUCAGACCAAAACCCAUUUCUAGAAACAACAUGUGAUAUCAUUUGCAAGGUUCACCAUAGAUGAUGAACUAAUAAAAUGUUAAAAUGAGAUAUUUUUCUAUCUCCAAGAAAGAGACAUACUGUGCUUUAACUUGAUGUGGGAUUAUAUUUAUAAAUGUUUUGGUUUGACUAUUGUAGGAGCUUCUUUUUCUCCCAUGGGGGUAAUGCUCUAAAGCUGUAAGAUUGAACUUUGUUUAGAUGGUGAUUGUAGGGCAGAGUUUAUCCAGACUUUUUACUAGUGAGAUAAUGAUGAUGAGAUAAUGAUGAUAAUUUCUGGCAAAACCCAAUAAGAAGUUUCUAAACUGUUUGAAAAUAAGAUGCCCAAUUGAAAUUGUAUUUUUGGGUUAGUAAAUUGUUGAAUUGGUGCUAUUGAGUCCUCAUUUUAUUUAACAAAUAUUAUUAGCAAAUUUGAGAUAUUCUAGUCUUUUAAUUAUAUAUA